GGUCGGUUAGCUCAGCUGGUAGAGCAUCGCAAUUACAGUAACCCAAUGUUCUGGGAUGAUGAUCACUGCGAAGGCCAUAGGUUCAAGCCCUAUACUGACCA
Molecule: non-coding RNA, 101 nt
Organism: Xylariaceae sp. FL1272
Lineage: Eukaryota; Fungi; Ascomycota; Sordariomycetes; Xylariales; Xylariaceae
Source: the annotation of a GenBank genome assembly